CGGGUCAGGCGAGUGGUCGCCCCUUAUGGGGGAGGAAAGUCCGGGCUCCACAGGGCAGGACACCGGGGAAAUCCCGGCUUCGGCAACGGAGAGAACGUACCACAGAAACGAUACCGCUUCCGGUGAACCGGGAGUAAGGGUGAAAUGGCGGGGUAAGAGCCCACCGGGACGCCGGUAACGGCGUUCGCACGGUAAACCUUGUCCGGUGCAAGGCCAAAUAGGAAGGAAGGUUUCUUCGGAAACCGGGGAGCUGCCCGUUCCCUCAAUCUUCGGGUUGGUCGCUAGAGGUGCCUGGCAACAGGCAUCCCAGACGGAUGGCCACUGGGCUCUACGGAUCAUGCUCGCUGGCGCGACGUGGUUCCUGGGAGUUCACAGAACCCGGCUUACAGCCUGACCCUCUUU
Molecule: RNase P RNA, 402 nt
Filed under: Candidatus Fermentibacterota bacterium
Lineage: Bacteria; Pseudomonadati; Candidatus Fermentibacterota
Also listed under: 1 other name
Description: RNase P RNA component class A
Rfam family: Bacterial RNase P class A
About the family: Ribonuclease P (RNase P) is a ubiquitous endoribonuclease, found in archaea, bacteria and eukarya as well as chloroplasts and mitochondria. Its best characterised activity is the generation of mature 5'-ends of tRNAs by cleaving the 5'-leader elements of precursor-tRNAs.
Source: RNAcentral